Molecule: long non-coding RNA, 396 nt
Organism: Panthera uncia (snow leopard)
Lineage: Eukaryota; Metazoa; Chordata; Mammalia; Carnivora; Felidae
Exons: 2
Source: RefSeq, a predicted model, not a curated record
GUUCCCGUGACGUCAGCGUCCCGGGGAAGUGGGCGGGAGGGGCGGGGCCGCGGGGGACGAAGCGACCGCUGAUUGGUGCGCGUUCCCCAUUCACACCGAGCACAAUGGACUAUGGGCGCGCGCACCACAGUUCCCUGCACCAGCAGCUCGCUGCAGCCGGACGGUUACGUCGUUCGCUUCAGGGAACCCCCACCGCCCCGCGCCUUGAGACCUCCGAUUGGAGCCGUGGGCGCCGCCCAGGCCCCGCUGCAGCCAGAGGAAGGCAGGAUAGGAGAGAACCUUCUGUUGGAUGAAAUAAAAGCAAACACUGGGCCUUCUGCGCUGCCUCCACCUCCACGCCCCUCCCGCGCCUGCCGCCCUCCCGGAUUGCACGGAAAUAGCUUCUCCAGGCUCCUG